AUGCAGUCGACGAGACGCCAAUACAUCGGGAGGGGAUGUUAGUGGCGGAUGGGUGAGUAACGCGUAGGAACCUGUCACCGAGUGGGGGAUAACGCUGGGAAACCGGCGCUAAUACCGCAUAGGGUCAGCAAUGAUCAAAGGAGCAAUCCGCUGGGUGAGGGGCCUGCGUCCGAUUAGCUGGUUGGUGGGGUAAUGGCCUACCAAGGCAUCGAUCGGUAGCUGGUCUGAGAGGAUGGUCAGCCACACUGGGACUGAGACACGGCCCAGACUCCUACGGGAGGCAGCAGUUAGGAAAUUUUCACAAUGGGGGAAACCCUGAUGGAGUAACGCCGCGUGGAGGAUGACGGCCUUCGGGUUGUAAACUCCUUUUCUGGGGGAAGAGCAGAAGACGGUACCCCAGGAAGAAGCCUCGGCUAACUACGUGCCAGCAGCCGCGGUAAUACGUAGGAGGCGAGCGUUGUCCGGAAUUACUGGGCGUAAAGAGCGCGUAGGCGGUUCUGUACGACAGGUGUGAAAGCCCCCGGCUCAACUGGGGAGGGUCAUCUGUAACGGCAGGAAUGAUGAGUGCAGGAGAGGGACGUGGAACUCCGGGAGUAGCGGUGAAAUGCGUAGAGACCCGGAGGAACACCAGUGGCGAAGGCGGCGUCCUGGCCUGCGACUGACGCUGAGGCGCGAAAGCUAGGGGAGCAAACGGGAUUAGAUACCCCGGUAGUCCUAGCCGUAAACGAUGGACACUAGGUGUGCGCGGUAUCGACCCCGCGCGUGCCGGAGCUAACGCAGGAAGUGUCCCGCCUGGGGAGUACGAUCGCAAGAUUAAAACUCAAAGGAAUUGACUGGGACCCGCACAAGCAGCGGAGCGUGUGGUUUAAUUCGACGCAACGCGCA
This 885-nucleotide ribosomal RNA is filed under the name uncultured soil bacterium. Its description in RNAcentral is "bacterial SSU rRNA". It matches the Rfam family "Bacterial small subunit ribosomal RNA", at positions 55 to 965 of the family's 1533-position model. The record is from RNAcentral.